GAGUUUGAUCCUGGCUCAGGAUGAACGCUGGCGGCGUGCCUAACACAUGCAAGUCGAACGGAGCCUUAACCAAAGAAGCAGCCAGCUUGCUGGAAGCGGAAAAGGGAAAGGCUUAGUGGCGGACGGGUGAGUAACGCGUGGGUAACCUGGCCCAUACAGGGGGAUAACACUUAGAAAUAGGUGCUAAUACCGCAUAACAACAGAAAGCGCAUGCUUUUUGUUUGAAAACCAAGGUGGUAUGGGAUGGACCCGCGUCUGAUUAGCUGGUUGGCGGGGUAAAGGCCCACCAAGGCGACGAUCAGUAGCCGGCCUGAGAGGGUGGACGGCCACAUUGGGACUGAGACACGGCCCAAACUCCUACGGGAGGCAGCAGUGGGGAAUAUUGCACAAUGGGGGAAACCCUGAUGCGGCGACGCCGCGUGAGUGAAGAAGUAAUUCGUUAUGUAAAGCUCUAUCAGCAGGGAAGAAAAUGACGGUACCUGAGUAAGAAGCCCCGGCUAACUACGUGCCAGCAGCCGCGGUAAUACGUAGGGGGCAAGCGUUAUCCGGAUUUACUGGGUGUAAAGGGAGCGUAGACGGCAGUGCAAGUCUGGAGUGAAAGGCGGGGGCUCAACCCCCGGACUGCUCUGGAAACUGUACGGCUGGA
RNAcentral lists this ribosomal RNA (646 nucleotides) under uncultured bacterium. RNAcentral's name for it is "bacterial SSU rRNA". It matches the Rfam family "Bacterial small subunit ribosomal RNA", at positions 9 to 645 of the family's 1533-position model. The record is from RNAcentral.